CCAGGAACGCAGGUAGCAGCCCAGGAGAUCAAAGUACGGACUCUUCAGAGAUGGCAUCACCAAAUGACUUCAAAGUAAUGUCUAUGCCACAGGUGUUAAGGAGAAAAUUCAACAGUUCCCUUGAAAUUGGCGACGGCGACGAAUCCUUUGAUCGAAACUCCAUUUACCGAGGCUCUUUGACACAGAGGAACCCCAACGGGAAGA
This 204-nucleotide long non-coding RNA is filed under the name Terrapene triunguis (Three-toed box turtle). RNAcentral's name for it is "Terrapene carolina triunguis (Three-toed box turtle) lncRNA (ENSTMTG00000008806.1)". Lineage: Eukaryota; Metazoa; Chordata; Testudines; Emydidae. The record is from RNAcentral.